AUUGAACGCUGGCGGCAUGCCUUACACAUGCAAGUCGAACGGUAACAGGUUAAGCUGACGAGUGGCGAACGGGUGAGUGAUAUAUCGGAACGUGCCCAGUCGUGGGGGAUAACGUAGCGAAAGCUACGCUAAUACCGCAUACGAUCUACGGAUGAAAGCGGGGGAUCGCAAGACCUCGCGCGAUUGGAGUGGCCGAUAUCAGAUUAGGUUGUUGGUGAGGUAAAAGCUCACCAAGCCUGCGAUCUGUAGCUGGUCUGAGAGGACGACCAGCCAAACUGGAACUGAGACACGGUCCAGACUCCUACGGGAGGCAGCAGUGGGGAAUUUUGGACAAUGGACGCAAGUCUGAUCCAACAAUGCCGCGUGCAGGACGAAGGCCUUCGGGUUGUAAACUGCUUUUGUACGGAACGAAACGGUGAGCUCUAAUACAGUUUGCUAAUGACGGUACCGUAAGAAUAAGCACCGGCUAACUACGUGCCAGCAGCCGCCGUAA
This 493-nucleotide ribosomal RNA is filed under the name uncultured bacterium. RNAcentral's name for it is "partial 16S ribosomal RNA". It matches the Rfam family "Bacterial small subunit ribosomal RNA", at positions 30 to 523 of the family's 1533-position model. The record is from RNAcentral.